UACGUAGGGGGCAAGCGUUGUCCGGAUUUACUGGGUGUAAAGGGCGCGCAGGCGGACUGACAAGUCAGAGGUGAAAUCCUGCAGCUUAACUGCAGAACUGCCUUUGAAACUGUCAGUCUUGAGUACGGAAGAGAGAGACGGAAUUCCAGGUGUAGUGGUGAAAUACGUAGAUAUCUGGAAGAACACCAGUUGCGAAGGCGGUCUCUUGGUCCGUUACUGACGCUCAGGCGCGAAAGCGUGGGUAGCAAAC
RNAcentral lists this ribosomal RNA (250 nucleotides) under uncultured bacterium. Its description in RNAcentral is "partial 16S ribosomal RNA". It matches the Rfam family "Bacterial small subunit ribosomal RNA", at positions 524 to 773 of the family's 1533-position model. The record is from RNAcentral.